This 2294-nucleotide long non-coding RNA is filed under the name Lactuca sativa (garden lettuce). Its description in RNAcentral is "long non-coding RNA (LSAT_LNC005520)". The record is from RNAcentral. Lineage: Eukaryota; Viridiplantae; Streptophyta; Magnoliopsida; Asterales; Asteraceae.
UUGUUUUCAAAAUUCAAAAUAAAAGUACGCUUCCAUCUUCUCUUAAACAAGAAUGUCAGCCGCCACCCACUCCACCAUCAUCUCUCCUUCGUCGCUCAUCCACUGCACCACCAACAUCCACCGUCUCCCUCACCAUUAAACCACCAGAAGCCCGCAUACACUAGCAUAGCUCCACCACUCGACCACCUCGACAACUUUAUUUUAGGCCUCGACAACAUUAUCCAUUGUUGCUAUCAUCCACUUACGUUCCAUCUAUGUUUCGCUCUUUCUUAAAACUCUCUCUCUCUCUCUCUCUCUCUCUCUCUCUCUCUGUUGCGAUUAAAGACACACACAUGCACCAUUACACCUCGCCUUCUCUCUAUAUCUCUACGCACAACACUACUAGAUUUUGAAACAGAUAUGGGCUAGCAGAUGACCCUGAGAUGAUUUUGGUUUCCUUCAGGAUUUUUCUCAACAAUUCUUUAUAUGUCGAUUUUCUGUAAGUAUUUCUUCAUCCGCCUGUAGCUUAAGCAUCGUUGGUUUUUUAUUUUUUAAAAAGAGACAUUUUUCAUCUGUCGAUUAUAUCACAUAUUAAAACACACUUUCGUGUUUUUUUUGAAUCCCAGGUAGGUUUCAUUUAGUUUUUUUAUUUUUUUUUUAUUUUUUUUAUUUUUUAUUUUAUUAUUAUUAUUAUUAUUUUUUUAAUUUUCAAUCUGCCUUAAUUGUUUCAGACAAGUAUUUGGUUUUAGCCUUUAUAAAACACUUUCAUGUCAGUCUUAACAGAAUCUUAUCUGCUUUCCAGUAAACCAGGUAGUUUAACAGCCAAAGAACAUUUCUUUUGCUUCUUUUUCUUACGUGAUUUUAGUGUCACUAUGCCUAUUAUACAAAAUUAUCUCAAAAGCUCAGAUUUAAUUCUAAUACAACUCAGAAAAAAAAAUGGUCUUACUCUCUGUUUUGUUUGAUGCUGUUUGAUGCAGGGUCUUAUUACUCUCUGUUUUGUUUGAUGCAGGGCCUUCAUCUCAUAAGCAACUUACACGUAAGCUUUUGGGAUCUUUGGGUUUUGUUCUUUGCUUUGUACCAAAUUAAUUUAAUCACUUUCUAUAUUAAAUUUCAAAUCAUCGGGUAAUUUUAGUAGGCUAAAUGCAAGGAAAAGAAUCUUUGACCAUGUCAAUUUUUUGUUUUUUUAUUUGUCUUCAUGCACCAACAUAGUUGGUAGUAACCUGUGUGAUGGUUCCUUGAGGUCAAACCCUAAGAAAAAGAGUAGGAUACUGUUCGAAAGAAGGUUAAAUGUGAUAACAAGCUUUAUGAAGAAAAAAGAGAAAUUGUGAUGUUAUUCCCGACGACAAAAACUAAAACUGGUGAAAUCUUAUUUUCAUUUCUCUUUUUUACAACAUUGCAAUAGAUGGAACCCCGGAAGCACAAGAUGGAAAUCUUGAGACUAAGGGGGUGUUUGAGAUAUCUUUUGAGAGGGCAAAAGAACUUUUAGGAAAAGAUAACAAAUAAAAGAUGUUUAGGGAAAGCUCUUUAAAAGCUUCUUUUGGAUUUUUUUAAGAAGGAAAAAUGACUUUUUGGAAAAGUCAGGGAAACCUAGUUUUUUGUAACUUUUCCCAAAAGUUUUUUUUGCCUGAAAAGAUACCCCAAACAUCCCCUAAAAAUUAAAAAAAAAAAGAAAGUCAACACAGAUGACAAUUUAUGAAAUAGCAUGUUUUGGAAGCUGAAGAUGGAAACAUGGAUACUGAAAACUCUAAAAGAAGUCAAAAGGCUAUAAAAAAUAACUAAUAUAUGAAACCACCCUUCCAUCGAGUCCUCUUCAUUGUUCCUUUAUCGUUCCUUCCAUACUAUUCUCUUCAUUGCCCCUAUCACCCCUCCACUUCUUUAUUUCUCUUCAACACACAUACUCAAAAACUCCCAUAUCUUAACACCCAUAUCAUAGCAGGUAACUUACAAAAUCUGUAAUUUCUUUUGCAGUAUCUUAUUUGGGUUAUGAUUUUAUUCAUAUUUUGUACUUUUUAUGUCAAUGCUUUAAAGUAGGCUAUCACAGACUAUAUAUAUAUAAUGCAAUAUAAUAAUGAUAUUAUUUUAUUUUCAGUGACGAUUUCAAUUGAAUUAACAAACAUUGAGUUCGAACCGGAAAUGCCAACAACGGAUAACAUUAGGAUUAUGCAUCGUAACAUUUUUAAUAUUUUGAGACAUUUGGUGGUGAAUGUUAUAUUUAUUGACAAGUUUUUAUAUUAAAGUCAUAGGGUGUAGUCGAUCGAGUUAUUAAUGUGAGACUUUUUGUAGUGGAUGUUUCAUAUAUGUAUAAGUAUUUAAAU